Molecule: ribosomal RNA, 1338 nt
Filed under: uncultured bacterium
Lineage: Bacteria
Description: bacterial SSU rRNA
Rfam family: Bacterial small subunit ribosomal RNA
Source: RNAcentral
GACGAACGCUGGCGGCGUGCUUAACACAUGCAAGUCGAACGGAAAGGCCUGCAGCUUGCUGCGGGUACUCGAGUGGCGAACGGGUGAGUAACACGUGGGUGAUCUGCCUUGCACUUCGGGAUAAGCUUGGGAAACUGGGUCUAAUACCGGAUAGGACAGCUGUUUAGUGUCAGUUGUGGAAAGUUUUUUCGGUGCAAGAUGAGCUCGCGGCCUAUCAGCUUGUUGGUGGGGUAAUGGCCUACCAAGGCGUCGACGGGUAGCCGGCCUGAGAGGGUGUACGGCCACAUUGGGACUGAGAUACGGCCCAGACUCCUACGGGAGGCAGCAGUGGGGAAUAUUGCACAAUGGGCGGAAGCCUGAUGCAGCGACGCCGCGUGGGGGAUGAAGGCCUUCGGGUUGUAAACUCCUUUCGACAGGGACGAAGCUUUUGUGACGGUACCUGUAUAAGAAGCACCGGCUAACUACGUGCCAGCAGCCGCGGUAAUACGUAGGGUGCGAGCGUUGUCCGGAAUUACUGGGCGUAAAGAGCUCGUAGGUGGUUUGUCGCGUCGUCUGUGAAAUUCCGGGGCUUAACUCCGGGCGUGCAGGCGAUACGGGCUGACUUGAGUGCUGUAGGGGAGACUGGAAUUCCUGGUGUAGCGGUGAAAUGCGCAGAUAUCAGGAGGAACACCGAUGGCGAAGGCAGGUCUCUGGGCAGUAACUGACGCUGAGGAGCGAAAGCAUGGGUAGCGAACAGGAUUAGAUACCCUGGUAGUCCAUGCCGUAAACGGUGGGCGCUAGGUGUAGGGGGCUUCCACGUCUUCUGUGCCGUAGCUAACGCAUUAAGCGCCCCGCCUGGGGAGUACGGCCGCAAGGCUAAAACUCAAAGGAAUUGACGGGGGCCCGCACAAGCGGCGGAGCAUGUGGAUUAAUUCGAUGCAACGCGAAGAACCUUACCUGGCUUGACAUAUACAAGACAGGCGUAGAGAUACGUCCUCCCUUGUGGUUUGUAUACAGGUGGUGCAUGGUUGUCGUCAGCUCGUGUCGUGAGAUGUUGGGUUAAGUCCCAUAACGAGCGCAACCCCUAUUGUUAGUUACCAUCAUUAAGUUGGGGACUCUAGCAAUACUGCCGGUGACAAACCGGAGGAAGGUGGGGAUGACGUCAAAUCAUCAUGCCCUUUAUGACCUGGGCUACACACGUGCUACAAUGGCAGGUACAGAGGGAAGCGAGACUGCGAAGUUAAGCAAAACUCAAAAAGCCUGUCCCAGUUCGGAUUGCACUCUGCAACUCGAGUGCAUGAAGUUGGAGUUGCUAGUAAUCGCAGAUCAGGAUGCUGCGGUGAAUGCGUUCCCGGGUCU